AAGAAAGUAGCUUAAUUUAAAGCCAGGCAUUGAAGAUGCCUUUAUAGGGUUUCCCUCUUUCUUA
This 64-nucleotide transfer RNA is filed under the name Elysia atroviridis. RNAcentral describes it as "tRNA-Phe". The record is from RNAcentral. Lineage: Eukaryota; Metazoa; Mollusca; Gastropoda; Plakobranchidae.